GGAUUAUGUUCAUUUAGGCCGC
This 22-nucleotide non-coding RNA is filed under the name Arabidopsis thaliana (thale cress). The record is from RNAcentral. Lineage: Eukaryota; Viridiplantae; Streptophyta; Magnoliopsida; Brassicales; Brassicaceae.